This 253-nucleotide ribosomal RNA is filed under the name uncultured bacterium. Its description in RNAcentral is "partial 16S ribosomal RNA". It matches the Rfam family "Bacterial small subunit ribosomal RNA", at positions 524 to 776 of the family's 1533-position model. The record is from RNAcentral.
GACAGAGGAGGCAAGCGUUGUUCGGAGUCACUGGGCUUAAAGGGGACGCAGGCGGCUGAGCAAGUGUCUUGUGAAAUCCCACGGCUUAACCGUGGAACUGCAGGGCAAACUGCUUGGCUUGAGGUCGGUAGAGGCGCCUGGAACUCUAGGUGGAGCGGUGAAAUGCUUAGAUAUCUAGAGGAACGCCGGAGGCGAAAGCGGGGCGCUGGGCCGAUUCUGACGCUGAGGUCCGAAAGCGUGGGGAGCAAACAGG